Long non-coding RNA from Oncorhynchus keta (chum salmon), 4763 nucleotides. RefSeq lists it as uncharacterized. Lineage: Eukaryota; Metazoa; Chordata; Actinopteri; Salmoniformes; Salmonidae. The record is from RefSeq and is a predicted model, not a curated record. The transcript has 6 exons.
GAGAGACAUCUGGUAGUAAACCCUCACUCUGUUGAGUUGUUCUGGCUAAGGUGGGACACACCGAGAGAGACAUCUGGUAGUAAACCCUCACUCUGUUGAGUUGUUCUGGCUAAGGUGGGACACACCGAGAGAGAGACAUCUGGUAGUAAACCCUCACUCUGUUGAGUUGUUCUGGCUAAGGUGGGACACACCGAGAGAGAGACAGCUGGUAGUAAACCCUCACUCUGUUGAGUUGUUCUGGCUAAGGUGGGACACACCGAGAGAGAGUGACAGCUGGUAGUAAACCCUCACUCUGUUGAGUUGUUCUGGCUAAGGUGGGACACACCGAGAGAGAGACAGCUGUUAGUAAACCCUCACUCUGUUGAGUUGUUCUGGCUAAGGUGGGACACACCGAGAGAGAGAGAGACAGCUGGUAGUAAACCCUCACUCUGUUGAGUUGUUCUGGCUAAGGUGGGACACACCGAGAGAGAGAGAAAGCUGGUAGUAAACCCUCACUCUGUUGAGUUGUUCUGGCUAAGGUGGGACACACCGAGAGAGAGUGACAGCUGGUAGUAAACCCUCACUCUGUUGAGUUGUUCUGGCUAAGGUGGGACACACCGAGAGAGAGACAUCUGGUAGUAAACCCUCACUCUGUUGAGUUGUUCUGGCUAAGGUGGGACACACCGAGAGAGAGACAGCUGGUAGUAAACCCUCACUCUGUUGAGUUGUUCUGGCUAAGGUGGGACACACCGAGAGAGAGUGACAGCUGGUAGUAAACCCUCACUCUGUUGAGUUGUUCUGGCUAAGGUGGGACACACCGAGAGAGACAGCUGGUAGUAAACCCUCACUCUGUUGAGUUGUUCUGGCUAAGGUGGGACACACCGAGAGAGAGACAGCUGGUAGUAAACCCUCACUCUGUUGAGUUGUUCUGGCUAAGGUGGGACACACCGAGAGAGAGACAGCUGGUAGUAAACCCUCACUCUGUUGAGUUGUUCUGGCUAAGGUGGGACACACGGAGAGAGAGAGAGACAGCUGGUAGUAAACCCUCACACUGUUGAGUUGUUCUGGCUAAGGUGGGACACACUGAGAGAGAGACAGCUGGUAGUAAACCCUCACUCUGUUGAGUUGUUCUGGCUAAGGUGGGACACACCGAGAGAGAGACAGCUGGUAGUAAACCCUCACUCUGUUGAGUUGUUCUGGCUAAGGUGGGACACACCGAGAGAGAGACAGCUGGUAGUAAACCCUCACUCUGUUGAGUUGUUCUGGCUAAGGUGGGACACACCGAGAGAGACAGCUGGUAGUAAACCCUCACUCUGUUGAGUUGUUCUGGCUAAGGUGGGACACACCGAGAGAGAGACAGCUGGUAGUAAACCCUCACUCUGUUGAGUUGUUCUGGCUAAGGUGGGACACACCGAGAGAGAGACAUCUGGUAGUAAACCCUCACUCUGUUGAGUUGUUCUGGCUAAGGUGGGACACACCGAGAGAGACAGCUGGUAGUAAACCCUCACUCUGUUGAGUUGUUCUGGCUAAGGUGGGACACACCGAGAGAGAGACAGCUGGUAGUAAACCCUCACUCUGUUGAGUUGUUCUGGCUAAGGUGGGACACACGGAGAGAGAGAGAGACAGCUGGUAGUAAACCCUCACACUGUUGAGUUGUUCUGGCUAAGGUGGGACACACCGAGAGAGAGAGACAGCUGGUAGUAAACCCUCACUCUGUUGAGUUGUUCUGGCUAAGGUGGGACACACUGAGAGAGAGAGACAGCUGGUAGUAAACCCUCACUCUGUUGAGUUGUUCUGGCUAAGGUGGGACACACCGAGAGAGAGACAGCUGGUAGUAAACCCUCACUCUGUUGAGUUGUUCUGGCUAAGGUGGGACACACCGAGAGAGAGUGACAGCUGGUAGUAAACCCUCACUCUGUUGAGUUGUUCUGGCUAAGGUGGGACACACCGAGAGAGAGUGACAGCUGGUAGUAAACCCUCACUCUGUUGAGUUGUUCUGGCUAAGGUGGGACACACCGAGAGAGAGUGACAGCUGGUAGUAAACCCUCACUCUGUUGAGUUGUUCUGGCUAAGGUGGGACACACCGAGAGAGAGACAGCUGGUAGUAAACCCUCACUCUGUUGAGUUGUUCUGGCUAAGGUGGGACACACCGAGAGAGAGAGAGACAGCUGGUAGUAAACCCUCACUCUGUUGAGUUGUUCUGGCUAAGGUGGGACACACCGAGAGAGAGAGACAGCUGGUAGUAAACCCUCACUCUGUGAUGUUAAGUUGUUCUGGCUAAGGUGGGACACACCGAGAGAGAGAGACAGCUGGUAGUAAACCCUCACUCUGUUGAGUUGUUCUGGCUAAGGUGGGACACACCGAGAGAGAGAGACAGCUGUUAGUAAACCCUCACUCUGUGAUGUUAAGUUGUUCUGGCUAAGGUGGGACACACGGAGAGAGAGACAGCUGGUAGUAAACCCUCACUCUGUCUGAUGUUGAGUUGUUCUGGCUAAGGUGGGACUCACGCAGAGAGAGACAGCUGGUAGUAAACCCUCACUCUGUUGAGUUGUUCUGGCUAAGGUGGGACGCACCGAGAGAGAGACAUCUGGUAGUAAACCCUCACUCUGUUGAGUUGUUCUGGCUAAGGUGGGACACACAGAGAGAGAGACAUCUGGUAGUAAACCCUCACUCUGUUGAGUUGUUCUGGCUAAGGUGGGACACACCGAGAGAGAGACAUCUGGUAGUAAACCCUCACUCUGUUGAGUUGUUCUGGCUAAGGUGGGACACACCGAGAGAGAGACAGCUGGUAGUAAACCCUCACUCUGUUGAGUUGUUCUGGCUAAGGUGGGACACACUGAGAGAGAGAGAGACAGCUGGUAGUAAACCCUCACACUGUUGAGUUGUUCUGGCUAAGGUGGGACACACUGAGAGAGAGACAGCUGGUAGUAAACCCUCACUCUGUUGAGUUGUUCUGGCUAAGGUGGGACACACCGAGAGAGAGACAGCUGGUAGUAAACCCUCACUCUGUUGAGUUGUUCUGGCUAAGGUGGGACACACCGAGAGAGAGACAGCUGGUAGUAAACCCUCACACUGUUGAGUUGUUCUGGCUAAGGUGGGACACACUGAGAGAGAGAGACAGCUGGUAGUAAACCCUCACUCUGUUGAGUUGUUCUGGCUAAGGUGGGACACACCGAGAGAGAGACAGCUGGUAGUAAACCCUCACUCUGUUGAGUUGUUCUGGCUAAGGUGGGACACACCGAGAGAGACAGCUGGUAGUAAACCCUCACUCUGUUGAGUUGUUCUGGCUAAGGUGGGACACACAGAGAGAGACAGCUGGUAGUAAACCCUCACUCUGUUGAGUUGUUCUGGCUAAGGUGGGACACACCGAGAGAGACAGCUGGUAGUAAACCCUCACUCUGUUGAGUUUUCUGGCUAAGGUGGGACACACCGAGAGAGACAGCUGGUAGUAAACCCUCACUCUGUUGAGUUGUUCUGGCUAAGGUGGGACACACCGAGAGAGAGAGACAGCUGUUAGUAAACCCUCACUCUGUGAUGUUAAGUUGUUCUGGCUAAGGUGGGACACACGGAGAGAGAGACAGCUGGUAGUAAACCCUCACUCUGUCUGAUGUUGAGUUGUUCUGGCUAAGGUGGGACUCACGCAGAGAGAGACAGCUGGUAGUAAACCCUCACUCUGUUGAGUUGUUCUGGCUAAGGUGGGACGCACCGAGAGAGAGACAUCUGGUAGUAAACCCUCACUCUGUUGAGUUGUUCUGGCUAAGGUGGGACACACCGAGAGAGAGACAGCUGGUAGUAAACCCUCACACUGUUGAGUUGUUCUGGCUAAGGUGGGACACACUGAGAGAGAGAGACAGCUGGUAGUAAACCCUCACUCUGUUGAGUUGUUCUGUCUAAGGUGGGACACACCGAGAGAGAGACAGCUGGUAGUAAACCCUCACACUGUUGAGUUGUUCUGGCUAAGGUGGGACACACCGAGAGAGACAGCUGGUAGUAAACCCUCACUCUGUUGAGUUGUUCUGGCUAAGGUGGGACACACAGAGAGAGACAGCUGGUAGUAAACCCUCACUCUGUUGAGUUGUUCUGGCUAAGGUGGGACACACCGAGAGAGACAGCUGGUAGUAAACCCUCACUCUGUUGAGUUUUCUGGCUAAGGUGGGACACACCGAGAGAGACAUCUGGUAGUAAACCCUCACUCUGUUGAGUUGUUCUGGCUAAGGUGGGACACACCGGGAGAGAGACAGCUGGUAGUAAACCCUCACUCUGUUGAGUUGUUCUGGCUAAGGUGGGACACACCGAGAGAGCUGGUAGUAAACCCUCACUCUGUUGAGUUGUUCUGGCUAAGGUGGGACACACGGAGAGACAGCUGGUAGUAAACCCUCACUCUGUUGAGUUGUUCUGGCUAAGGUGGGACACACCGAGAGAGACAGCUGGUAGUAAACCCUCACUCUGUUGAGUUGUUCUGGCUAAGGUGGGACACACCGAGAGAGACAGCUGGUAGUAAACCCUCACUCUGUUGAGUUGUUCUGGCUAAGGUGGGACACACAGAGAGAGAGAGAGACAGCUGGUAGUAAACCCUCACUCUGUUGAGUUGUUCUGGCUAAGGUGGGACACACCGAGAGAGACAGCUGGUAGUAAACCCUCACUCUGUUGAGUUUUCUGGCUAAGGUGGGACACACCGAGAGAGACAGCUGGUAGUAAACCCUCACUCUGUUGAGUUGUUCUGGCUAAGGUGGGACACACAGAGAGAGAGAGAGAGACAGCUGGUAGUAAACCCUCACUCUGUU